RNAcentral lists this ribosomal RNA (480 nucleotides) under uncultured bacterium. RNAcentral's name for it is "partial 16S ribosomal RNA". It matches the Rfam family "Bacterial small subunit ribosomal RNA", at positions 27 to 507 of the family's 1533-position model. The record is from RNAcentral.
GGAUGAACGCUGGCGGCGUGCUUAACCCAUGCAAGUCGAACGAAGCACCUUGAUUUGAUUCUUCGGAUGAAGAUCUUGGUGACUGAGUGGCGGACGGGUGAGUAACGCGUGGGUAACCUGCCUCAUACAGGGGGAUAACAGUUAGAAAUGACUGCUAAUACCGCAUAAGACCACAGCACCGCAUGGUGCAGGGGUAAAAACUCCGGUGGUAUGAGAUGGACCCGCGUCUGAUUAGGUAGUUGGUGGGGUAACGGCCUACCAAGCCGACGAUCAGUAGCCGACCUGAGAGGGUGACCGGCCACAUUGGGACUGAGACACGGCCCAAACUCCUACGGGAGGCAGCAGUGGGGAAUAUUGCACAAUGGGGGAAACCCUGAUGCAGCGACGCCGCGUGAGCGAUGAAGUAUUUCGGUAUGUAAAGCUCUAUCAGCAGGGAAGAAAAUGACGGUACCUGACUAAGAAGCACCGGCUAAAUACGUG